This 496-nucleotide ribosomal RNA is filed under the name uncultured bacterium. Its description in RNAcentral is "partial 16S ribosomal RNA". It matches the Rfam family "Bacterial small subunit ribosomal RNA", at positions 29 to 507 of the family's 1533-position model. The record is from RNAcentral.
AUGAACGCUGGCGGCGUGCCUCAUACAUGCAAGUCGAGCGAACAGACGAGGAGCUUGCUCCUCUGACGUUAGCGGCGGACGGGUGAGUAACACGUGGAUAACCUACCUAUAAGACUGGGAUAACUUCGGGAAACCGGAGCUAAUACCGGAUAAUAUAUUGAACCGCAUGGUUCAAUAGUGAAAGACGGUUUUGCUGUCACUUAUAGAUGGAUCCGCGCCGCAUUAGCUAGUUGGUAAGGUAACGGCUUACCAAGGCAACGAUGCGUAGCCGACCUGAGAGGGUGAUCGGCCACACUGGAACUGAGACACGGUCCAGACUCCUACGGGAGGCAGCAGUAGGGAAUCUUCCGCAAUGGGCGAAAGCUUGACGGAGCAACGCCGCGUGAGUGGUGAAGGUCUUCGGAUCGUAAAACUCUGUUAUUAGGGAAGAACAAAUGUGUAAGUAACUAUGCACGUCUUGACGGUACCUAAUCAGAAAGCCACGGCUAACUACGUG